GACGAACGCUGGCGGCGUGCUUAGCACAUGCAAGUCGAACGGAAAGGCCCUGCUUUUGUGGGGUGCUCGAGUGGCGAACGGGUGAGUAACACGUGAGUAACCUGCCCUUGACUUUGGGAUAACUUCAGGAAACUGGGGCUAAUACCGGAUAGGAUCUCCUGCUGCAUGGUGGGGGUUGGAAAGUUUCGGCGGUUGGGGAUGGACUCGCGGCUUAUCGGCUUGUUGGUGGGGUAGUGGCUUACCAAGGCUUUGACGGGUAGCCGGCCUGAGAGGGUGACCGGCCACAUUGGGACUGAGAUACGGCCCAGACUCCUACGGGAGGCAGCAGUGGGGAAUAUUGCACAAUGGGCGGAAGCCUGAUGCAGCAACGCCGCGUGCGGGAUGACGGCCUUCGGGUUGUAAACCGCUUUCGCCUGUGACGAAGCGUGAGUGACGGUAAUGGGUAAAGAAGCACCGGCUAACUACGUG
RNAcentral lists this ribosomal RNA (468 nucleotides) under uncultured bacterium. Its description in RNAcentral is "partial 16S ribosomal RNA". It matches the Rfam family "Bacterial small subunit ribosomal RNA", at positions 28 to 507 of the family's 1533-position model. The record is from RNAcentral.